GGGGGGGGCAAGCGUUGUUCGGAAUUACUGGGCGUAAAGGGCUCGUAGGCGGCCAACUAAGUCGGAUGUGAAAUCCCCAGGCUUAACCUGGGAACUGCAUCCGAUACUGGAUGGCUUGAAUUCGGGAGAGGGAUGCAGAAUUCCAGGUGUAGCGGUGAAAUGCGUAGAUAUCUGGAGGAAUACCGGUGGCGAAGGCGGCAUCCUGGACCGACAUUGACGCUGAGUGAGCGAAAGCUAGGGGAGCAAACGGGAUUAGAUACCCCGGUAGUCCUAGCCCUAAACGAUGAAUGCUUGGUGUGGCGGGUAUCGAUCCCUGCCGUGCCGAAGCUAACGCAUUAAGCAUUCCGCCUGGGGAGUACGGUCGCAAGGCUG
This 372-nucleotide ribosomal RNA is filed under the name uncultured bacterium. RNAcentral describes it as "bacterial SSU rRNA". It matches the Rfam family "Bacterial small subunit ribosomal RNA", at positions 527 to 896 of the family's 1533-position model. The record is from RNAcentral.